Bufo gargarizans (Asiatic toad) is the source of this 389-nucleotide long non-coding RNA. RefSeq lists it as uncharacterized. NCBI's taxonomy places the organism in Eukaryota, Metazoa, Chordata, Amphibia, Anura, Bufonidae. The transcript is spliced from 4 exons. The record is from RefSeq and is a predicted model, not a curated record.
AAUUUGAAGAUAUCAGCGCAAGCACCCACAGCAUCUGGGUUAACCCAUUCUUCACAUAGAAAGGAUAACUCAGAAUUGAACCAAGAAAAUUUUGGGAUGAUGUCAGAAAAUACGAGUACAACACCAUCAAAUAACGCAUUUUCAACUAGAAUGCAACCUGGACCCACAAAUUCAGGUUCUCAAACUGGCAGUUAAAGUGAUCUCCAAUCAAAUUUGAAGAUAUCAGCGCAAGCACCCACAGCAUCUGGGUUAACCCAUUCUUCACAUAGGUAAGUAAAUAAUAUAAUCAACAUAUUAACUGUAAUGUUAGGUGCCAUGUCAUCAUGGCUCACCACACUGAAUUUAUCAGUAUGGUUCGCUCCAUUCUCACUCUCAUACACAUUGCUUCU